This is a long non-coding RNA of Homo sapiens (human), 397 nucleotides long. RefSeq lists it as uncharacterized. Lineage: Eukaryota; Metazoa; Chordata; Mammalia; Primates; Hominidae. The transcript is spliced from 2 exons. The record is from RefSeq and is a predicted model, not a curated record.
GUCGCCGCCGCCGAGACCAAGAUGGCCGCGAGACUCCGCACCUUCUUCAAGAAUGCCUGGGCCAAGGAGCCGGUGCUCGUCGUGUCCUUCGUCACUGGGAGCCUCAGACCCCCAGGACCCCAGCCUGGAGUGGCUGAAGAAACUGGAAACUUGGGACAUGGAGAAAGACACACACAGACACAGGGAAGACACCACGUAGAGAUAAAGGCAAUGGUGUGGCAGAGGCAUCUACAGGUCAAGGAAUGGCAAAAUGUGUCAGCAAGAUGACAUUCCACCAGAAGCCAAAGAGAAGCAUGAACAGAUUCCCCACAGCCCUCAGAAGGACCCAGCCUGCUAGCAUCUUAAUCUCACACUUCUGGCCUCCAGAACUGAGGGACAAUAAAUUUCUGUUGUUUAA